GACCAGAAUGGGGAGAAAGGACCAGAUGGCUGUGAAAUGCCACAGACAGUGUGUGACUGGGCUGAGCCACUGAAGACCUACCUGAUGAGGUUAACAGCUGACUGGGGGUGCCAGGAGCAGAGAGUGAGUGUGCAGGUUUGUACCUGACCGACAGGAGGUGCUCACAAGAGCUAACAUCUGGAUGCAGUUGCUGUAAAAAUUUGUUGCAGAACAAGCUCUCCAUCUGCCAAACUCUGUCUAUUAUUAGUGACAAGAAACAGGAAGAUGUAAUGUGUGCAAAGCACUCAGACAUGACAGUGAUGGGUGAAAUAAGAGCAUCAAUGGAAGCAUCACUACCAUGGCUGAACACAAGGCCGUAGUUUGGAUGGAAAAAAUAAAGUGAAUUACAGCAUUUGAAACAUUAUUUUGAGCAUGCUAGUCAGGUAGUUAGCAUACCAAUUUCUUCCCAUCUAUCCGGUUUGCUCAUCUGCUCAUGCAACUGAUUGGUCAUACAAAACACGAAGAUGGUUUGAAGCCCCAUUGAAAAUAGGUCUGCUUCUCUAUUUUUAUGCUAUUACUGUUUGAGAAGAUAGUCAUCCAAAUCCAUUGAAGUUAGUGGGAGUUUUGCUUAAGGACUAAAAGAAUGCAGAAUAGGUCCAGUCAUUUGAAGAAAAAGAAACUACAUUAUUUACUAUGUCUGACAGUAUACCUUAGUACUGCACACUAUUUUCAGAGGAAAACAUAUUUCAAGUUUCCAUAAUACUGUUAUCUAUAGUAGAUAGCCUUUGCUUUCAAGCUGACUUUAUUUUUUUGAAA
Molecule: long non-coding RNA, 795 nt
Organism: Mauremys mutica (yellowpond turtle)
Lineage: Eukaryota; Metazoa; Chordata; Testudines; Geoemydidae
Exons: 3
Source: RefSeq, a predicted model, not a curated record